AUACGCUCCACAAAGCAUACUGAGACAAAGUGUUUGUUUAGGAGACAGGGGAUUUUUCACAGUAUUGUAAGGAAAUAAACAGAUUUCAGAGGUGUGUUCCCGCCUGGCCAAUCCCGAGGCUGUUGUGCAGCUCUGCCACCCCUCCAAGCCCAAUCGCAGCUCCGCAGCUCCGAAGGGAAACUCGUUUUGCUGUUUGUCUCGGCAGUGCUGCUGAUGAAUGGCUGCUUCAGGGGAAGAGAUCAAGCUGUGUGAUGAGCUACUCAAAAGUUCAUGGUGAUUUAGUUCACGUGCAGUUGUGUGAAGUUACCCUACAAUCAGAAGGCCUGAGUAUGAAGGUGCCAAACUGUACUACAAAGUCUUAUACAAACAACACUGAUAUUUUAAAGAACUGUUCUUCUCCUUUAAUGGAAACUCUAAAUCAGAA
Long non-coding RNA from Chroicocephalus ridibundus (black-headed gull), 424 nucleotides. RefSeq lists it as uncharacterized. The record is from RefSeq and is a predicted model, not a curated record. Lineage: Eukaryota; Metazoa; Chordata; Aves; Charadriiformes; Laridae. The transcript is spliced from 4 exons.